CCUACGGGUGGCAGCAGUGAGGAAUAUUGGUCAAUGGGCGCGAGCCUGAACCAGCCAAGCCGCGUGCAGGAAGACGGCUCUAUGGGUUGUAAACUGCUUUUGUACGAGGGUAAACUCAGAUACGCGUAUCUGUCUGAAUGUAUCGUACGAAUAAGGAUCGGCUAACUCCGUGCCAGCAGCCGCGGUAAUACGGAGGAUCCGAGCGUUAUCCGGAUUUAUUGGGUUUAAAGGGUGCGUAGGCGGUCUGAUAAGUUAGAGGUGAAAUUCCGUGGCUCAACUCCGGAAUUGCCUCUGAUACUGUUGGGCUAGAGAGUGGUUGCGGUAGGCGGAAUGCGUGGUGUAGCGGUGAAAUGCUUAGAUAUCAUGCAGAACACCGAUUGCGAAGGCAGCUUACCAAGCUACGUCUGACGUUGAUGCACGAAAGCGUGGGGAUCAAACAGGAUUAGAUACCCGUGUAGUC
RNAcentral lists this ribosomal RNA (460 nucleotides) under uncultured bacterium. RNAcentral's name for it is "partial 16S ribosomal RNA". It matches the Rfam family "Bacterial small subunit ribosomal RNA", at positions 338 to 795 of the family's 1533-position model. The record is from RNAcentral.